This 915-nucleotide ribosomal RNA is filed under the name uncultured bacterium. Its description in RNAcentral is "bacterial SSU rRNA". It matches the Rfam family "Bacterial small subunit ribosomal RNA", at positions 60 to 971 of the family's 1533-position model. The record is from RNAcentral.
AGUCGAGCGGGGAAGGUAGCUUGCUACCUAACCUAGCGGCGGACGGGUGAGUAAUGCUUAGGAAUCUGCCUAUUAGUGGGGGACAACGUUUCGAAAGGAACGCUAAUACCGCAUACGCCCUACGGGGGAAAGCAGGGGCUCUUCGGACCUUGCGCUAAUAGAUGAGCCUAAGUCAGAUUAGCUAGUUGGUGGGGUAAAGGCCUACCAAGGCGACGAUCUGUAGCGGGUCUGAGAGGAUGAUCCGCCACACUGGGACUGAGACACGGCCCAGACUCCUACGGGAGGCAGCAGUGGGGAAUAUUGGACAAUGGGGGGAACCCUGAUCCAGCCAUGCCGCGUGUGUGAAGAAGGCCUUUUGGUUGUAAAGCACUUUAAGCGAGGAGGAGGCUCCUAUAGAUAAUACCUAUAGUGAGUGGACGUUACUCGCAGAAUAAGCACCGGCUAACUCUGUGCCAGCAGCCGCGGUAAUACAGAGGGUGCGAGCGUUAAUCGGAUUUACUGGGCGUAAAGCGUGCGUAGGCGGCUGAUUAAGUCGGAUGUGAAAUCCCUGAGCUUAACUCAGGAAUUGCAUUCGAUACUGGUCAGCUAGAGUAUGGGAGAGGAUGGUAGAAUUCCAGGUGUAGCGGUGAAAUGCGUAGAGAUCUGGAGGAAUACCGAUGGCGAAGGCAGCCAUCUGGCCUAAUACUGACGCUGAGGUACGAAAGCAUNNNAGCAAACAGGAUUAGAUACCCUGGUAGUCCAUGCCGUAAACGAUGUCUACUAGCCGUUGGGGCCUUUGAGGCUUUAGUGGCGCAGCUAACGCGAUAAGUAGACCGCCUGGGGAGUACGGUCGCAAGACUAAAACUCAAAUGAAUUGACGGGGGCCCGCACAAGCGGUGGAGCAUGUGGUUUAAUUCGAUGCAACGCGAAGAACCU